RNAcentral lists this ribosomal RNA (1233 nucleotides) under metagenome. RNAcentral describes it as "bacterial LSU rRNA". It matches the Rfam family "Bacterial large subunit ribosomal RNA", at positions 1564 to 2808 of the family's 2925-position model. The record is from RNAcentral.
UGAGUACGAGAUGCUACGGCAUCGAAGCAGUCUAUGUCAUACUUCCAAGAAAAGCUUGCACUGUCAUAAACAAAGAAUGCCUGUACCAUAACCGACACAGGUGGGUAGGUAGAGUAUACUAAGGGGCGCGAGAUAACUCUCUCUAAGGAACUCGGCAAAAUGACUCCGUAACUUCGGGAGAAGGAGUGCCUUAUUUCUAAGGUUGCAAUAACAAGAUCCAAGCAACUGUUUACCAAAAACACGGGUCUCCGCUAAGUCGUAAGACGAUGUAUGGGGGCUGACGCCUGCCCAGUGCCAGAAGGUUAAAGAAGUUGGUUAGCAUUAGCGAAGCUGAUAACUGAAGCCCUGGUGAACGGCGGCCGUAACUAUAACGGUCCUAAGGUAGCGAAAUUCCUUGUCGGGUAAGUUCCGACCCGCACGAAAGGCGUAAUGAUUUGGAUACUGUCUCGGAGAGGGGCUCGGUGAAAUAGACUUGUCUGUGAAGAUGCGGACUACCUGCACCUGGACAGAAAGACCCUAUGAAGCUUUACUGUAACUUGAGAUUGAAAUUGGACUUUAUUUGCGCAGUAUAGGUGGGAGGCGUUGAGAAUAAUCUUGCGGGAUUGUUGGAGCCAUCAGUGAGAUACCACUCUUGUAAUGUUAGAUUUCUAACUUUGUAUCAUUAUCUGGUCAAAGAACAGUUUCAGGCGGGCAGUUUGACUGGGGCGGUCGCCUCCCAAAGGGUAACGGAGGCGCACAAAGGUUUCCUCUGAACGGGUAGAAAUCGUAUCUAGAGUGUAAAGGCAUAAGGAAGCUUGACUGUGAGACCUACAAGUCGAGCAGGGACGAAAGUCGGUCUUAGUGAUCUGACGGUGCUGAGUGGAAAGGCCGUCACUCAACGGAUAAAAGUUACUCUAGGAUAACAGGCUGAUCUCCCCCAAGAGUUCACAUCGACGGGGAGGUUUGGCACCUCGAUGUCGGCUCAUCGCAUCCUGGGGCGGUAGUCCGUCCCAAGGGUUGGGCUGUUCGCCCAUGAAAGCGGUACGCGAGCUGGGUUCAGAACGUCGUGAGACAGUUCGGUCAUAUCCGGUGUAGGCGUUAGAAUAUUGAGAGGAGCCUUCUCUAGUACGAGAGGACCGAGAAGGACAUACCUCUGGUGUACCAGUUAUCGUGCCAACGGUAAACGCUGGGUAGCUAUGUAUGGAGUGGAUAACCGCUGAAAGCAUCUAAGUGGGAAGCCCACCUCAAGAUAAG